GUCAAUAUUGUCCCCCCUUUAGUCACUGCAGAUAUCCAGCAGUAGAGAGUUUUGGAUCAGGGCCCACCCAUCAGGUUUGCCACAAAAGGCUUUAACAUUAGUUAUAGUAUGGUUAAGCUCUAUAUACUACCAAUACAACCAUUUCCUUGGCAAUGUGGGACUAACACCAACUCAUAGGUGUUACAGACUUUCGUUGUUUAUAAUGACUAAAGGGACUUUUGUUGUUUUGUAAAGACUAAAGGGACUUUCAUUGAUCUUAAAAGACUUUUCUUUAUUCAUAGACCAAGGGACUUUCAUUGUUUACAGUCCAAGGGAAUUUUCUUUUCCAGGAUUCUCAUCGUGUUUAUAGUCCAAGGGACUGAGGGACUUUUGUAUAUCUUAGGUGUUUUUUCUUGUUUAUAGUCCAAGGGGUUUUCUUUUCCGACGUGCCUAAUUUGUCUGUAGUCCAAAAGACUAAGGGACUUCCGUUGUUUAUAGGGAAUUUUGUUAAUCUUAAGGGACUUUUCUUGUUUAUAGUCCAAAGGACUUUUCUCUUCCAACAUUCCCAUCUUGUUUAUAGUCCAAGGGACAGAAGGACUUUCGUUGAUUUUAAGGGACUUUCGUUGAUUUUAAGGGACUUUCGUUCAUCUUAAGGAGCACAAUAAAAUAUUAACAUUGAUCAUAUAUAAUCAGUUCAUG
This 678-nucleotide long non-coding RNA is filed under the name Aquilegia coerulea. RNAcentral's name for it is "long non-coding RNA (ACOE_LNC000701)". Lineage: Eukaryota; Viridiplantae; Streptophyta; Magnoliopsida; Ranunculales; Ranunculaceae. The record is from RNAcentral.